Molecule: unclassified non-coding RNA, 391 nt
Filed under: soil metagenome
Description: partial contains 5.8S ribosomal RNA, internal transcribed spacer 2, and large subunit ribosomal RNA
Rfam family: 5.8S ribosomal RNA (bases 1-122)
Source: RNAcentral
GAUGAAGAACGUAGUGAAAUGCGAUACUUGGUGUGAAUUGCAGAAUCCCGUGAACCAUCGAGUCUUUGAACGCAAGUUGCGCCCGAAGCCAUUAGGCCGAGGGCACGCCUGCCUGGGCGUCACACGUCGUUGCCCCCCCAUCUACUCCUUCGGGAUUGCGGGGGGCGGAUGAUGGCCUCCCGUGCGCCUAGUCGCGCGGUUGGCAUAAAAACCAAGUCCUCGGCGACGCACGCCACGACAAUCGGUGGUUGCGAAACCUCGGUUGCCCGUCGUGUGCGGUCGUCGCGCAUCGAGGGCUCGAAAAAAUUGCCGGGCUCCGGCUCGGCUUUCAACGCGACCCCAGGUCAGGCGGGGUUACCCGCUGAAUUUAAGCAUAUCAAUAAGCGGAGGA